GAGACACACCACACCAUGAAAUGUUAUCUUUUUUUCCCCUCAACACAAAUAGGUUACCAGAAAAAAGGAAUGUGAAAUGGAGACUGUUAAUAUGGACAUAUCCUAAGAUACAGCAUACCAUUUGAGAAAGUAAAUACACUACACUUUGGCAUGAAGGAAAAUUAACUCUGCCGUGAAUUAGUGAAAACAGGUUUUCUAUCCUGUUCAUCACCAGAAAUAAUCCCUUAACAAAAAACUCUUCCGUAGAUUGUGAAGAUCAGAUCUGAUUCAGAAAGGCAGGGUGGCAGGUAUGCAGAGAAUCAUAUAAUCUAUCUUGAUGAUACAAUUCCACUGAGUCCUGGCUAUAACACUUUCGAUGUCCACAUCACUAGUUGCAGUCCUACAAGCACGGAAGGGUGGAUGCUGUGGGGGGGUCCAGGCAGCUCUGUGGAACAGUCUCCAAUGGGCUAGUAGGAUGAGAAGGUCCAGGGGUAGUUUGGGAAUCGAGGAGAAACAUCACCUCUCAAGACGGUAAACCUACUGAAAAGACUAUUCAAACUCCAGAAGGAC
This 549-nucleotide long non-coding RNA is filed under the name Lepidothrix coronata (blue-crowned manakin). Its description in RNAcentral is "lncRNA (ENSLCOG00000013042.1)". The record is from RNAcentral. Lineage: Eukaryota; Metazoa; Chordata; Aves; Passeriformes; Pipridae.